AAACCAAGAAGAUUAAGCCAUAUAUUUUCGGUAAAAAGAUAGUUAAGUAGUAUUAGAAAGUUAGUUCAAUUUUUAUUAAGAAGUAAAAUUCGUAAAUAAAAUAGAAGUUUAAUGGUAGCUAAAAAACUGAAGCUAUGACAACUUUGAGGGAAACUGGGAUUAGAUACCCCACUAUUCUUAGAAGUAAAAAGAUAAAAAUCUACCAGAGUACUAUGGAUCAAUUAUAUUUAAAACUCAAAGAGCUUGGCGGUGCUUUAGACUUUUCAGGGGAGCUUGUCUCAUAAUCGACAAUCCACGAAAUACCUGACCUCUAUUUGUUUUCAGUUUGUAUACCGUCGUCGUCAGGUAACUUUUUAGAAUAAAGAAGUUAGCAAAAGAAUCGAUGAUAAAUUCUAACGUCAGAUCAAGGUGCAGCUAAUAUAGCGGAGAGGAUGAGCUACAAUUAUUAGAAUUAUAAAGACGAAUCAAUAAUUUGAAAAUAGUUGUGAAGGAGGACUUGAAAGUAAAAUAAAUUAUAUAGACGUUUUGAAUUAAGCUCUGAAGCGUGC
Molecule: ribosomal RNA, 548 nt
Filed under: Mancinella armigera
Lineage: Eukaryota; Metazoa; Mollusca; Gastropoda; Neogastropoda; Muricidae
Description: Thais armigera partial 12S ribosomal RNA
Source: RNAcentral